CACUUUUCAGAUCUCUCUCUCUCUUUCUACCUUAGACCCAAAGCGAAGACCUUUCUCUGGCUUCAACAACUUGGGGCUUUAUCAUUUCCACAAGAGCUCAGGGACAUGUCAGAUUCGACUGCAUUUAGGUGCUCUAAUUGAUUACUGGACCAUAUCUGCUUUUAAUUGUUGUUUGCUAGCUGAAAAAUGUCAUGUGAUGAAGUGCUGAAGGCUGUUUUCCCUUUGCUGGAUGGCAUAGACCUUGCUUCUUGUAUGGCAGUUUGCAAACAGUGGAGAGAUAUAGCCCGAGAUGAUUACUUUUGGAAAUGCCUAUGUGCCAAGAGAUGGCCUUCAAUUUGCAAGAGGCCUAGCCCUCCAACUGUGACCUACUUCAAGCUCU
Molecule: unclassified non-coding RNA, 379 nt
Filed under: Hevea brasiliensis (rubber tree)
Lineage: Eukaryota; Viridiplantae; Streptophyta; Magnoliopsida; Malpighiales; Euphorbiaceae
Source: RNAcentral